UCGAGAAUCUUCGGCAAUGGGCGAAAGCCUGACCGAGCGAUGCCGCGUGCGGGAUGAAGGUCUUCGGAUUGUAAACCGCUGUCGGAGGGGAUGCAGAGCCUCGGAGGAAGCACGGGCUAAGUUCGUGCCAGCAGCCGCGGUAAUACGAACUGUGCAAACGUUAUUCGGAAUCACUGGGCUUACAGGGUGCGUAGGCGGCAUUUUAAGUCAGGUGUGAAAUCCCCCGGCUCAACCGGGGAACUGCGCCUGAGACUGGAUUGCUCGAGUGAGGCAGGGGUGUACGGAACUUCCGGUGGAGCGGUGAAAUGUGUAGAUAUCGGAAGGAACGCCAGCAGCGAAAGCGGUACACUGGGCCUUGUCUGACGCUGAGGCACGAAAGCCAGGGUAGCGAACGGGAUUAGAUACCCCAGUAGU
RNAcentral lists this ribosomal RNA (414 nucleotides) under uncultured bacterium. RNAcentral describes it as "bacterial SSU rRNA". It matches the Rfam family "Bacterial small subunit ribosomal RNA", at positions 355 to 794 of the family's 1533-position model. The record is from RNAcentral.